AUUGAACGCUGGCGGCAGGCCUAACACAUGCAAGUCGAGCGAGCGGCGGACGGGUGAGUAAUGUCUGGGAAACUGCCUGAUGGAGGGGGAUAACUACUGGAAACGGUAGCUAAUACCGCAUACCAUCAGAUGUGCCCAGAUGGGAUUAGCGAGUAGGUGGGGUAACGGCUCACCUAGGCGACGAUCCCUAGCUGGUCGGAGAGGAUAACCAGCCAAACUGGAACUGAGACACGGUCCGGACUCCUAAGGGAGGCAGCAGUGGGGAAUGUUGCACAAUGGUCGAAAGCCUGAUGCAGCCAUGCCGCGUGAGUGAAGAAGGCCUUCGGAUUGUAAAACACUUUCAGCGGGGAGGCGAUACCCACAGAAGAAGCACCGGCUAACUCCGUGCCAGCAGCCGCGGUAAUUC
RNAcentral lists this ribosomal RNA (406 nucleotides) under uncultured bacterium. RNAcentral's name for it is "partial 16S ribosomal RNA". It matches the Rfam family "Bacterial small subunit ribosomal RNA", at positions 30 to 526 of the family's 1533-position model. The record is from RNAcentral.